UGGGAGGCAGCUAGAAGGGCUGUGCAAAACAGCACCGUUCCGAUUUGACUCGCGUUUCAACGGAACAGCGUUUCGUUUCAAAUUUCAUUUUGAUUCGAAACUGCUGUUCCGUUUCAUUUUGUUGAAACAGUUUUCCUGUUUCGACA
This is a long non-coding RNA of Gavialis gangeticus (Gharial), 146 nucleotides long. RefSeq lists it as uncharacterized. NCBI's taxonomy places the organism in Eukaryota, Metazoa, Chordata, Crocodylia, Gavialidae. The record is from RefSeq and is a predicted model, not a curated record. The transcript is spliced from 3 exons.